CGAGCGGACAGAUGGGAGCUUGCUCCCUGAUGUUAGCGGCGGACGGGUGAGUAACACGUGGGUAACCUGCCUGUAAGACUGGGAUAACUCCGGGAAACCGGGGCUAAUACCGGAUGCUUGUUUGAACCGCAUGGUUCAAACAUAAAAGGUGGCUUCGGCUACCACUUACAGAUGGACCCGCGGCGCAUUAGCUAGUUGGUGAGGUAACGGCUCACCAAGGCGACGAUGCGUAGCCGACCUGAGAGGGUGAUCGGCCACACUGGGACUGAGACACGGCCCAGACUCCUACGGGAGGCAGCAGUAGGGAAUCUUCCGCAAUGGACGAAAGUCUGACGGAGCAACGCCGCGUGAGUGAUGAAGGUUUUCGGAUCGUAAAGCUCUGUUGUUAGGGAAGAACAAGUGCCGUUCAAAUAGGGCGGCACCUUGACGGUACCUAACCAGAAAGCCACGGCUAACUACGUGCCAGCAGCCGCGGUAAUACGUAGGUGGCAAGCGUUGUCCGGAAUUAUUGGGCGUAAAGGGCUCGCAGGCGGUUUCUUAAGUCUGAUGUGAAAGCCCCCGGCUCAACCGGGGAGGGUCAUUGGAAACUGGGGAACUUGAGUGCAGAAGAGGAGAGUGGAAUUCCACGUGUAGCGGUGAAAUGCGUAGAGAUGUGGAGGAACACCAGUGGCGAAGGCGACUCUCUGGUCUGUAACUGACGCUGAGGAGCGAAAGCGUGGGGAGCGAACAGGAUUAGAUACCCUGGUAGUCCACGCCGUAAACGAUGAGUGCUAAGUGUUAGGGGGUUUCCGCCCCUUAGUGCUGCAGCUAACGCAUUAAGCACUCCGCCUGGGGAGUACGGUCGCAAGACUGAAACUCAAAGGAAUUGACGGGGGCCCGCACAAGCGGUGGAGCAUGUGGUUUAAUUCGAAGCAACGCGAAGAACCUUACCAGGUCUUGACAUCCUCUGACAUCCUAGAGAUAGGACGUCCCCUUCGGGGGCAGAGUGACAGGUGUGCAUGGUUGUCGUCAGCUCGUGUCGUGAGAUGUUGGGUUAAGUCCCGCAACGAGCGCAACCCUUGAUCUUAGUUGCCAGCAUUCAGUUGGGCACUCUAAGGUGACUGCCGGUGACAAACCGGAGGAAGGUGGGGAUGACGUCAAAUCAUCAUGCCCCUUAUGACCUGGGCUACACACGUGCUACAAUGGGCAGAACAAAGGGCAGCGAAACCGCGAGGUUAAGCCAAUCCCACAAAUCUGUUCUCAGUUCGGAUCGCAGUCUGCAACUCGACUGCGUGAAG
Molecule: ribosomal RNA, 1277 nt
Filed under: Bacillus amyloliquefaciens
Lineage: Bacteria; Bacillati; Bacillota; Bacilli; Caryophanales; Bacillaceae
Description: bacterial SSU rRNA
Rfam family: Bacterial small subunit ribosomal RNA
Source: RNAcentral